Long non-coding RNA from Selaginella moellendorffii, 2028 nucleotides. RefSeq lists it as uncharacterized. The record is from RefSeq and is a predicted model, not a curated record. The transcript is spliced from 5 exons. Lineage: Eukaryota; Viridiplantae; Streptophyta; Lycopodiopsida; Selaginellales; Selaginellaceae.
GUGAGCUUAGGGUUUUCAGCUAUGGCGAGGGACAGGGAUGUUGUCUCGCUAGGGCUGGGAAUCGUCGGAGCGGCGGUGGCCGGGGCGGCAGCGGGGUAUAUGCUCGGAAGAUCGGAGUCUCAGCUGGCCAAGUCGAUCUCGGAGGCUAGUCGCACUGCUUCUGAGGUGGGAGAUAAGAUCGCUCUGUCCUUCGACAAAGGCAUCGAGAAGAUCACUCUGUCCUUCGACAAAGGCGUGGACAAAGUCGCGGCUUCUUUUGACAGAGGUGUCGCGUCGUUCGACCGCAGCAUUGUGUCCUUUGAUCGCGCCAUUGACACCGUGGGGUCGUGGAAGAUCCCGAAGAACGGCUGCAAGUUCUCGCUAUGCCCAUUGGUGAUGAUCCCGAACGAAGAUCCUUAGAUGGAUUUGCGGAGCAAUCGGCGGUGCGAUCCGCAGCGGAAGCGCAAGCAAGUAAGAGCUGCCGGCGAAGCGGCCUGGCUGUGGCGGCAACGAAGCGAGCGAUCGGUUUUUACUUCUUUCUUUCGUUCUCUUUCUGUUUUUGAUGACGCGAUUUGAGUCGGAUGGCACUCUUGUAUAGAUUCUUUCUGCGAAGGAUGCCAAUGUAGAUCGAUUUACCGGGCGGAAAUCCUUUGCGGGUCUUCUCACGUUUGCGUUUAGUUGAAAGGCUUGUUCUUUUGUUUCUCUUCUUUCUCAGGCUUUCCAGGUACCAGCCAUUCGCAAGUCAUGGUCCGAGUCUUGUUCACUGUCAGGCAUGGUUGACGCAACUUCGCAGGAUGCCUUUGCUUCAUCCAGAUGAGCUCGAGAAAUGGUUCUUCUGCCUAAGGUGAAAAGUCUUCAACAAUUGCUUUCGUCUGCUAUCUUAUCAGAUGGAUCCUCGAAGACUCCUUCCUUUCUAAAGGCGACCAAAGCCAUCUCCAAACUGUCCCCGUAAGCUUGUGUGUAUUGACAAUUUUUUUCUGGUAGAGGAGCGGGAGAGGAGACAAAAAUGCUCAACCCCGAGAAGCUCGUCUUUCAAGGAAAGCUCGUGAUCCGGCUCUUCCAGCGAAUGUACCGAGAGGACUGGAUCACUCUGGUGACAGUCUUCGAGGCGUCUUGGCAACUAAGAACAUGGUAAUAGAAUUCACGCUUUUCUUAGGACCAUGUAUCAAAAGUGUGAGAGUCUGAACGAUGCUUGCUUGAUUUCCCGAAGAGUGGAACCAGUGUAGACCUCUGGAGUCUCGGCUUUGGAAGAAUGACAGGAUAAGGAGAUCAUCAAGCUCUGGAGGACACUCACUGUCUCUUGGGCAUCUCUUUGUCAAGGAUGAUGCAUGAGGAUGGCCAGGAUUCAGCUCCAAAACUCCAGCCAACGUUGGGAUCAGCCUUGCAAGCAGCGAGAAAGCAUCUCCAGUCCAGAUGAAACGGGAUGUUGGCGAUGGGGUCUUCGGCAGUCCUGCAUGCAACUGUUAUGCAGCUUGGUGAUCUUGGUCACUGGAGAAAAAAAACUGCUCAACCCCGAGGAGAUGUCCUUCUCUGAAAGUACAAGUUCUAUCAAGGAUCCGGCUCCAGCGAAUGUAGCGAGAGGACUGGAUCACUCUGGUGACAAUCUUCGAGGCCUCUUGGCAACCAUGGAGAGUGGAACAAUCUGGAGUCUCGGCUUUGGAAGAGUGACAGGUUAAGCUCUAGAGCUUUGGAGCUGAUUCGAUCAAUGACCAAAGCCUUGACACAUCCAUCGAUGGAGAAAGCAAACUCGGCCACCUUUCAUCAACUCAACGAAAGCAAGCCUCGUCUGGGAGAAUCUCCAUGGAUCCUGAGAGCGUGAGAGAGAGCACACUGUCGCCAUACAUCAAAAUGACGUUCAGGCAUGCCCACAAGCUGCGCGUAGCAGUGCCGCCUCGGUGGCCGAGAUCACAUUGUGGACCAGCAUCGGCUUGAUCGAUCGCGUGCAAGCGGAGAUCACAUGCAAGCGGAGAUCACAUUGAUAUCAAUGUACUUGGAUUCAAAUAGCUCACCUAGAUCGACUCAUUUAGAGAUUACAAGGUCCUUUCAUUA